This 2665-nucleotide long non-coding RNA is filed under the name Gossypium barbadense (sea-island cotton). RNAcentral describes it as "long non-coding RNA (GBAR_LNC017813)". The stretch from base 2 to 83 matches the Rfam family "tRNA". The record is from RNAcentral. Lineage: Eukaryota; Viridiplantae; Streptophyta; Magnoliopsida; Malvales; Malvaceae.
AGAUGCUUUGGCCGAGUGGUUAAGGCGUGUUCCUGCUAAGUACAUGGGUCUUCCCCGCGAGAAUUCGAAUCUUUCAGGCGUCGAAACAAUUUUUUGUCAAUUGUAUUAUCCAAUAUUACCAAAAUGGCCUUCCCCUCUGACUGCAAACUGGAAACAAGCUUAUAUGUUUGAGAACGUAAUUAAACAUGAUUUCUUUUCUUUUAACUAUACAAAGAGGUAAAAUAAUGUCAUAUGUAAUAUAUUAUUUUAUUACAUUUUAUGAAAUAUGAAUUAUUUUUAUAAUUUUAUUUAUAAAAUUGAAUAACUUCUCUAUUUAAUAUUAACAUAUUUCCAUCCUUCGAAAGCACUUUUUAAAGAGAAACAUCUUAUCUAUUUUCAUAAGAUCCUCACUUACUUUUUGGACACACACUAUUUGACUUAAUAACCACAUGAGCACAUAAGGAUCCUAUUUAUUAACUAUUACUUUUAGUCUCAACAAUUACGUCCCAUUCGAAGUGACUAAAAAAAGUCACAUCGUCACCUUAUCUAGAUUUAUGACAACAAACCACUUGACCAUUUGCCCACUUGCCCUCUACUUGCCUAUGGAAGGUGACACAUAGCAGCUUUGGAUUAUACCUAAGUAUAUAUGAACCCUUAGUUUUGACUAAAGAAAGGUCUCUUUCACUAUGACUCUCUUUUCUCCCUUUUUUAAUAUCCGAUUCAAUCAUCACCAUAACUUAAACACUAGUUUUAACCUAUCUAAUCACUAAUCAGGCUCGUUUACUAAGAAAAGAAACAUAUAACAUUAAUAUUAUUAACAAAUAAUAACUCAACCGAAAAUCCAAAACCUAAAUAUUGAGCUAAAAAAGAAGAGAACAAUAUAUCACCUCGAUGGUCGGUGGUAGUAGGGACGGUGGAAGAAGCAGAUUUGGCAACAAAACAAGUAGCAACCAUGGCUGAAGGCUAAAGCAGAUAUGGCACAAAAAGUGGAAGGCUAAGGGUAAAGGAGUGGGGAGAAAAGAUUAUAUGAAUUGUAUUUCUUACCUAUUAUUUUCUUUGAAUUUUUUAAAACUUCUAUCAUAUUAUCAAAAUUAUUAUUCAUUGGUUCAUUCACAAGUAAGGGAUACAAAUUGACUUCGUAUUCAUCUGUUGGAUGUCCCAAUUCACGUCCAAACUAAUAAAAAGUGAACCAAACCAUAGCUCUGGUUCUCUCCAAGCUAUCCGCCGAGAUGUAGAAUUGGGUAAAAAAGUUAAUUAGCAAAAUAUAAGCAUUAAAAAAUUUAAAAUUUUGAAAAUUAUUUUCAAAAUGUUAGCAUUGUAAUUGUUUGAGGAAAAAAAUUAGGUUAUUGGAAUUUUAUAAAUUUAAAAAUAAUUAUAAAAGAUGGAUAAUUUUAUUGAAAAUAAAUAAUAUAAAAUAUUCAAUAUGAAAAUCAUUAUAUUUGUAAAAAUUUAUAAAUAUUUUUAAUAAUUUAAAAUUUUUAAAAAUAUAUAUUAGGAUUAAAUAAAAAUAAUUUUUGAAGGUUUAAGUUUUUUUUAUUUUAUAGCAGGAUCAUGCAUAUUAAAUGAAAUAAAAUUACGAGAAAUUUUAAAAAAUAACCUUUUUAAGAGAAAUUUUAAAAAGGAUAUUGAGCUACUAAAAUCCCAUUACUCACAAAUUUUUAAAUUCUCCUAUAGAUUUAUCCAGACAAAUAAAUUCAAAUUUAAAAUUUUAAAAGCCUUGAUUCAUUUAUAGUAUUGUCUUUCAUCAAGGCUUUAUAACCAUCAUUUCACCAAUUCUCUUUGAUCACUUGCAUAUUUAACAUUCACAUAUUAUACUUAAUGUUCAAUAUUCAAAUUAGACUUUCAUGCAACAUAUUUCUCUUUUCCAUUUCUUCGCUUUCUAUUUUUACCAAUAAUAGUUUUAUGGUUUCAAUUUCAUUAUAUUUACUCUUUCAUGACAUUUAAUCACUUUGAUCUUAUAUCGCCAAAUUUUCACUUUAUACCAUGGGCUUAAAAAUUCUCAUACCAUUUCGUUAACUCGUUUCCACUUAACUUAAGUCAAGUUUUAUUGAUAAUAAAAAAUCAAAUUAACUAUCCAUUUUUCUACACUUAACCCAUGGUUUCAAUCUUUCAACACAUAUUUUACUUUAACUGUUUAUUACCUUCAUUAAUCAUAAUAAUAAUAAAGGAAAAGUUAGAAAGUCGAAGGAUAUUUACCUCUUGGAUGCACUAAGGCUUACAAUCAAGCUUCGCUACCCUUUCUUAGAACUUGAAUCCAUUAAUCAUUUGCCUACAACCUUUUUAUCCACCAAAUUUCUCUUUUCUUGAUACAAAAAUAUAAACAAAAUAUCAAUACACAUUCUCAAACAACUUUUUCUUACUAAAUAUCUCAAAUAAGCAAGUCGGAGAUGAAGAAAACAUGAUUUCUUACUUUGAUUGAAGGUUUCUCUCAUUAGCCAUAAAAAAACCCCUUAUUUGAAAGAAUGAAUUUGAUGGAGAAAUCAAGUUUAGAAAAGGAUUUUGUACUUGUUUUUAGUGAGAAUUCAAAGAUUUGAGUGAGAUUUAAGCUUGGAUUCGAAGAAAAAUGAAAAGGAAACAAACGAGAGAAGCUCUCUCUUCCAUCUCAUUGUGGAUAACAAAGAGCGAGGAAGGAAGAGCAAAAGAAUGCUCUCUUUCAACAAGAAGUGUGGUCCACAUUUAAUUUUUG